Long non-coding RNA from Salvelinus fontinalis (brook trout), 1596 nucleotides. RefSeq lists it as uncharacterized. The record is from RefSeq and is a predicted model, not a curated record. NCBI's taxonomy places the organism in Eukaryota, Metazoa, Chordata, Actinopteri, Salmoniformes, Salmonidae. The transcript is spliced from 2 exons.
UGCGUGAGUUCCAAAUAUUUCUAACGGUCGCCCCAGCGUGAGUUUUUUUAUGCACGUGAUGUUAGAACGUUCUCUCCAUUCCAGAAUGUGAUUGUUAUGUAACAGUACAUUUAACCUGCGCUGCCCUCAAACCAAAGCACGCAGCCUGUUUUAUUUGUCAAUUUAAAAUUAUUUUCUAACAAGUUUUUUAUUUUCUAAUAACAGUUUGAAAUGAUGUGUGUUUCGCCUUAUUCAUUCACAUAAAAGUAGUCAUUUUUACUUUUGCGGACCAAUUAAUUUUUGGGACAUUUCUGACCCGGACAAAAUUCCCCAAACACUUCUCAAUUGUUUGUGCAGGACAUUUACUCAUCUGCCGUCCUGCAUACACGUGUUCAUAUUUUCCACCUGUCGCCUGCAUCGAAAUCAAAGUUGUUUUCGUUACCAAUAAUACCUUUGGUAAUGUGUGCGUUUCUAUCAAAGUGCCUUAAUACGUUAUAAUAGUUUCUGCAUGUCGUGUUAUGUCGUUUCUACUGUAACGUCAUGUUUUUAUGUACAUUCCUUAUAACCGCGGACAAGCGAUGUAACGUUACUCAUUUCAUAACAUUUAUGGUGUUAUACUCAAUGCUUAGGUAUCUAGCUACAUUCUCCUAUUAGCUCUGGAAAACAAUGCUAAUUUCGUCAGGGAAGUAUUAGCAUGUGUUGUAUUUCGAAGCUACCCUGGCCUUAUGACUCCCAAGUGGCACAGCGUCUCAGCGCUAGAAGCGUCACUACAGAGACCCAUCUUCAAAUCAAGACUGCGUUUCUAUCAAAGUGGUCCACCUUCCCUGUGGCCAACAUGGUUGCUGUAUGGACAGUGGAGAGGACUUGGACGUCUCGUUUGUCAUGCCACUUUACUGCCAGCUGUUAACAUUUCUUAUUUUGUAUAACGGGUCAUUUAGGAUGGUAGUAGCGUUGAUGAAAUGCAGUCAUAGCAGCAGAACUAGAAAGCAGUCUUUACUGUCACCAGGAAUGUGUACAUUUCACAAAUUGUGGUUGUCCCCCACUCCUGGCUCUCUCUUCUCCUGUAGCUCCAAGGCAUAGUGAUUGGUCUCUACUAUGUCUCCCACCAGCUCCUCUGUCAGAAACAACUUGAAGCACUCUGCCUCAGUUGGAAAUGGCAAGGGGCGUUGCACUCCAGACUGGGACUCAUCAACACAAUCAGCAGGGCCAGGAGGGGUGAAAUGGCUGGCAGCCUUCCAGCUACCACAGAACUCCUGUACUUCAUCCACUGUCAGUCUGCCACCAUCACCACCAGCAUCUUCAAAGGGACCUGGGACUUCGUCAGUGGACAAGGGAAAUUCAGAUUCAGGGUUCUCAGUGGCUACAAGGUUGGGGGGCAGCUCCUCACUCAGUCAGAAUCUGAUUCCUGACUUUCAUACUCUGACUCAUUGUCAGAAUUUUUAAAAAAUCUCCAUAAUUUCCACAUUUGUUUGUUGUCUCCUUUUGAAAGAUUGCUAAUGCUUCAGCUUAGCUCACUAGCUACAUACAUAAACAACAACACUGAAUGGUUUACAGUGAGAGGGUACGUGGUUGACUGCCGGCACGCGCCACUUGUAUCAAUAAAUCACUAUCAGAAAA